UAGGUGUCUCUAUUUUACACACAUGUUAAGUA
Molecule: non-coding RNA, 32 nt
Filed under: Mus musculus (house mouse)
Lineage: Eukaryota; Metazoa; Chordata; Mammalia; Rodentia; Muridae
Source: RNAcentral